AUGGCUCUGGGCUGGAGCAAGGCUUUCCUUAGAGAAGCCAGUCCCCUUCCCCUUGCCCCCGCACUGCUGUCCCCCUGGGCCACGCUGCCCCCACAGCCUCUGCCUGCUGUGUGGAGGCAACGAGGGGCGGCCUGCUGCUGGUGGAGGCCGGGGGAGCGGCUGCUCUGGCUAGGAGUGGGACAAUUAAUGUCCUCCGUCAGGGCGGCAAGUCUCCAGACUUUGAGAAACAUCCCGGGGUUGGGCCGUGCCUGCCUGUUCCUGCAGUGGCUGAAAUACAGCCUUAUCCUGAGGGAAAUGGCGGUGAGAGGCGGCUGCCGGCUGGGAAAGGGGGGAGGCCUUGUGGCUGCGGAGAGCAGGAGCUGCUGCCGGCUGCUGUGGUGCGAAACGAAGAAGCACUUGUGUCCCAACUUCUUCAGGAGCUUAAAAAGACCUUCCUCUUGCUUCAGAGAUAAGAUUUCAGUGUAUGAAGAUCCUACUGGUGAUGCAAUUUUUCUGAUAAAUUCCAUGAGAGAUAUUUGAUAACAGAUCUCUUGCUUUUCUUCACUUUUUUAUUUCCAGUAUGAAAUGACGGAAGUCCCCAAAAGCUCCAGCACUCCCUUGGGGGUGCAGUUAUCUGAGCUAAUACACAGAUGAUUUAGAUCGUAAUAAAGCAAUGAUGCAUAAUGAGUGCA
Molecule: long non-coding RNA, 671 nt
Filed under: Anser cygnoides (Swan goose)
Lineage: Eukaryota; Metazoa; Chordata; Aves; Anseriformes; Anatidae
Description: lncRNA (ENSACDG00005006268.1)
Source: RNAcentral